This 804-nucleotide long non-coding RNA is filed under the name Marmota monax (woodchuck). The record is from RNAcentral. Lineage: Eukaryota; Metazoa; Chordata; Mammalia; Rodentia; Sciuridae.
GGUUCUGGAUACUAGAAGUUCAAGAUCAGGGUGCCAGCAUGAUCUUCUGGAAGAGCCCUUUUCCUGGUUUGUGAAUAAUUGACUUCUCUGUUGUCUUCAGAUGGCACAGAGGGAGGGAGGGCAGGAAGGAGGAAGAGAGAAGAGAGAGAAAAAGUUCUUUGGUGUCUCUUCUUAUAAAGGCAUUGACUCUAUGGUGAGGGCCUCCCUUAGGACCAAGAGUCCCAUCUCCAAAUGUCACCAUUAGAGCUUCAACUUGUGAAGUUUUCUGGGGAUAUAAUUCAGUUCAUACUAAUGUUUGUGCCAUUUUUUCAAGCCAGUCUCUAAAGUGUUGUUCAUGAAACAUAGGUCGGUCACCACUUCUUUGCAAUUCAGAAUAAAGUUCUAAUUUCUUCUUAUAAUUAUUGAGGCCCUCAGACCCUACCCUGCCUAUUUAAUGCUUCACUGUUUUAUCUCUCUGCCUUCAUGUUGGUUGAGUCCCCCAGGAAGCAGACACCAACAUGGAAUUGGAAGUGCGGGAGAGGUAUUGGGUAGAAAGUCUGUGAAAGGUAACAGGCAGAGGGAGACAGAGUAGGCAGCUAAACUGUAGGUUGCAGCAUCAGUCUGGCACCUGUGACUAGGAAGAGGAGAUAGAGGAUGAUUGGGUGGGAAGAGCCUUGGACUGCAGUGCAUCUCACUGAGCAAGUCUUGUGCACCCAUCAUAGACACCUCCCACUGAUGAGGAGGGAGCCAUGCUCAGCUACGGGCUGCAGCUGCCUGAGGAGGUCAUAGGCUCAGCUUGUAAGCCAAGGUACAUCGGGAAGUCAC